GAGGCCGAGAGGCGUAGUCGAUGCACAUACGGUUGAAAUUCCGUAGCCACCUUAUCGAAUGAAAGCUGACACUUGGAAAUAGCGGGACCCGGAGAUUGGUAGAUCCGGGCGUAAGGGACCGAACACGAGUAGGGAAGUCCGCGAUGUUCUGAGGCGAGAAAAGGCGAAGGUAGGGUGCCCGUACCGCAAACCGACACAGGUAGAUGAGGAGAGAAUCCUAAGGCCAACGGGAGAAGGGUUGUUAAGGAACUCGGCAAAAUGACCCCGUAACUUCGGGAUAAGGGGAGCCUGCGCGAGCAGGCCGCAGAGAAUAGGCCCAAGCGACUGUUUACCAAAAACACAGGUCUAUGCUAAAUCGAAAGAUGACGUAUAUGGGCUGACGCCUGCCCGGUGCUGGAAGGUUAAGAGGAGAUGUCAGGCAACGAAGCAUUGAAUCGAAGCCCCAGUAAACGGCGGCCGUAACUAUAACGGUCCUAAGGUAGCGAAAUUCCUUGUCAGGUAAGUUCUGACCCGCACGAAUGGCGUAACGAUUUGGGCGCUGUCUCAACAGCCCACCCGGCGAAAUUGUUGUACUGGUGAAGAAGCCAGUUACCCGCAACUAGACGGAAAGACCCCAUGGAGCUUUACUGCAGCUUAAUACUGGAAUUCGGUAAUUCAUGUACAGGAUAGGUGGGAGACAUGGAAGUACGGUCGUCAGGCCGUAUGGAGUCGCCCUUGGGAUACCACUCUUGGAUUGCUGGGUUUCUAACCUGCGGCCGUGAAUCCGGUCGGGGGACACUGUUAGGCAGACAGUUUGACUGGGGCGGUCGCCUCCUAAAAGGUAACGGAGGCGCUCAAAGGUUGGCUCAGCACGGACGGAAAUCGUGCGGUGAGUGUAAACGUAUAAGCCAGCCUAACUGCGAGAGCGACGGGUCGAGCAGUAACGAAAGUUGGAGUUAGUGAUCCGGUGGUAUGUGAGUGGAAAUGCCAUCGCUCAACGGAUAAAAGCUACCCUGGGGAUAACAGGCUGAUCUCCCCCAAGAGUCCACAUCGACGGGGAGGUUUGGCACCUCGAUGUCGGCUCAUCACAUCCUGGGGCUGUAUUCGGUCCCAAGGGUUCGGCUGUUCGCCGAUUAAAGUGGCACGCGAGCUGGGUUCAGAACGUCGUGAGACAGUUCGGUCCCUAUCUGUUGCGGGCGUAAGAGAUUUGAAGGGGGCUGUCCUUAGUACGAGAGGACCGGGAUGGACGCACCUCUGGUGCACCUGUUGUCGUGCCAACGGCAUAGCAGGGUAGCUAAGUGCGGACGAGAUAAACGCUGAAAGCAUCUAAGCGUGAAACUUUCCCUAAGAUAAGAUCUCUCAUCCUUCGAGGAGUAAGGCACGACAGAGACUAUGUCGUAGAUAGGCCGGAGGUGGAAGUGCAGUAAUGUAUGGAGCUGACCGGUACUAAUCAGCCGAGGGCUUGACCU
This 1448-nucleotide ribosomal RNA is filed under the name human gut metagenome. Its description in RNAcentral is "bacterial LSU rRNA". It matches the Rfam family "Bacterial large subunit ribosomal RNA", at positions 1398 to 2925 of the family's 2925-position model. The record is from RNAcentral.